UAAAAUAUUUUCCCACUUUGAUAGCUAGAGAAAGAAACAGAUAGGUGCAACUUAUGAUUUGCCAUUCAUAAAAGAUCCACUGGAGAACUUCGUCCUGUAUGGAAUUUGGUGGAUGAAUCUGUAUCCCGACCGAAAUACAACGUUCGAAGUUUAACUUUUGGUUUCGGAUAUGCCACGUAUACAACUAAACUUAAUUUAAGUUAUGAGUGCUUGAAAGAAUUAAUAGUUUCAAGUGGGCUUUCGAUUGGUUUAUCGACUCUAGUUUAGUCUUUGACGGAUGUUGAAAUAAUGUAUGACAACCUGUUGUUAUUAUCUUA
Molecule: long non-coding RNA, 317 nt
Organism: Drosophila willistoni
Lineage: Eukaryota; Metazoa; Arthropoda; Insecta; Diptera; Drosophilidae
Exons: 2
Source: RefSeq, a predicted model, not a curated record